Vulpes vulpes (red fox) is the source of this 1659-nucleotide long non-coding RNA. The record is from Ensembl. Lineage: Eukaryota; Metazoa; Chordata; Mammalia; Carnivora; Canidae.
UGAUCUAAUCAUCCUAAAUCUUUAACUUAUUAAUUUAAACUGUCCAUGCGCCAUACUUGUCUUGCUGCACUCCUAGAAGGAUGUCAGGAACCGAUCACCAGCAACCAAAGGAGAAUGGUGAGAAGGAGGAACCAGGGCUGGCGCUGACCACACCGAGUGGAUGGGAAGUGGGACAGGCUUGUGCCCUGUGGUGCCGAUGAUAAGUCAGCUUCCUACAUGAUACCACUGUGUUUCAGUGAGAGACGAAUUACACAAACAAAAUGUUCUUCACAGAUGGAUGAGAUGGUGAGGAUAGCUGCACUGAACGGGAGCACCUUUACCUUUUUUACUGGAGAGAACUCUAUUUUCCUGAUCUGGUCCUUUGGGUUUUGGUCUCUGGGCCUCUGCCUCUGGAGGGAUACUUGUGAGCAUGCUCUCUCUCUCUCUCUCAUUCUCUCUCUCUCUCUCUCUUUGUAAGGCAAAAAGCUGAUUUCUGAAACUACCUGAGUUUUAAAAAUUAAAUCUCAAACCCUUCAUUUGAAUAAGAAAGUGUCCUCCAGCUUCAAGCUUGACCUUAAUUAGCAUUAGUUUUAUUCAAGUGAAAAAUGUCCUCAUGGUUCCCUCACCUUCCACUAAAAUUCUUGGUUACUCUGGAUCUUCGUUUUACUCAAUAUAAUACAAUUUCUUCCAUUCCCUUGUGCUCUAGGCUUCUAUUUCCAUCUGUUUAUGGAGAAAAAAAAAAUAUCUCUCUCGGGCCUAUGAGUUUGUUAAAUUUAGCCCGUCCAGAGAUAAAUCACAUUACCCUCCUCUGACUCGUCCUUCCCUUGCUGUCCAAAGUAAAGACUUAGAACAGCCUCUACGUAGCUGCACAAGCUCAGAUCCCCCAGUCCUCACAGUGUCUUCCUUCUUCCCCAUUCCAUCAAUCUAAUCUGAUCUAACUUAAAUGUUCUCAAAUGUGAAUCAGUAAUCCCUCUUGCCUGAAUCUCUUUCUCUUCCUUCUGUCUUUGCCAGCUCUUAUCUCCUCUUUCCUGGACGGCUGACUAAUCUCUUUGGCGGUCUUCUUGUGAGAACUUCCCAUCCUCUAAAUCCAUCCUCUGUGCAGCAGCAAGAAAGGUAAUCAGCAGUGAGGGCUCCUCUACCCCCAUCCCACAGCAGAGGGCUGGUACCAGGUCCGUAGCAGCAGAUCAGGGGCAGCCACCACUGUUCAUGCCUUCAAGAGGAGGAGUGUAGGUCAUUUUGGAUCUGAACCAAAUGACUCUUAAUACUCCUUCUUCACCUACUCUCCAAAAAUGUUCCAGGCUUCUAACAAAGGGCCCAUGGCCAUGUUCCUUCAGCUUUGUUCUCUUGGCUCUGGAAAUUGCUGCAGGCUCUCAUUCUCACCUGAUUUCUCCACUUUAUAUGCUUUGCUUCAUCCCAAGGUCUUCCUUUUCUCACAUCCUCUGAGUAGUGGCCCAUUUGGACUCUCUGGUGGUUGCUUCUUGGAUCACCCUUAGUUUCGUGGUCUACUGGCCAUAGGCAAGCCCCAUUUAGCCCAGGUGACUGGGCCACUGUAAACCAGCCCAAGUUGAGCACCAUGACCUUCCACUGGUCAAGCAAGGGGUCGGGAUGGGACUCCCACUGAUGAUGCUAAAGACUUUGAGGUUUCAGAAAUAAAGCUCACUGGCAACCUCUUAGAGUCCA